Long non-coding RNA from Centruroides sculpturatus (bark scorpion), 1381 nucleotides. RefSeq lists it as uncharacterized. The transcript has 3 exons. The record is from RefSeq and is a predicted model, not a curated record. Lineage: Eukaryota; Metazoa; Arthropoda; Arachnida; Scorpiones; Buthidae.
AGAGAAGUUUUGCUAUUAAGCCAUUGUCAUCCUGUUAUAGAUAUUAAGUCAUCCUGCUUUAUUAUAAAGGCACCAGGAGGGCCAUUUUUGUUCAUAUCUGUCAUGGGUUUAUCCCAACUUAUCCAUACACCUGGGUAGGGAGAAAUGAGUCCUGACUUAUCUGUGAUAGCCCACCCAUAAAAAAUUCCUGGAAAGCUGCUUUAUCCCAGACUCGAUCCCAGGUCCUCAGAGCAAUAGCAUAACACCUUAACCAUCCAAACUAUCCAGCCAUCAAGCUUCUGCCUUUGAGACUACUUUGAAGAAUUUCCAAAGUUUUGAUUUUUUUUUGGCAUUUUUUACUUUUAUUUGCUUUUCCUUUUUAAUUUUUAUAAAAUAAACAAACAAACAUAACAUGUGUGCUCAUAUUUUGCAAACAAUGUUGCUUAAUUUAUGAAAAAUCAUUUGAUUAUUUGAUCAUUUUCUGAAUCUAGUCUGUACUAAUUAUGUACUGUACAUGUAUAAGCAUAUUAAAGCAUGAUAAUUAUAUUAAAGUCAAACAAUUACCAGAAUAAACUGGGCUACAUUACUGAUACUAAUAACUAUUAAAUACAGAGUAAUUUGAUACUAAAUGUAGGUGUUGGCACCAUCUCUUAUUAUUUUGUAUUUAAUAAUUAUUAGCAGCAGUAAUGUAGCCAGAUUUAAUCUGGAAAUCAUUCAGCUUUACAAAUUAUGUUUUGUUUCCUUCAUCUUUAUUAAUAACGCUUUGAUGAACAAUGGCAUCUAUUUAAUGUUUUUGAAAUAUAUUAAGGACUCAGACUUGUUGAAUUUUAGCUCAAAUAUCAAUUCUAAGUAAAAAUGAAAAAUGAAAGAGACAAGUCCAAAUCCAAGUACUUGGAAUCAAAACUACCUAACUUCAAUAUUAAUCAAAAUUUUAACCUACUAAGGCAGCGCUGUCCAACUUAUCAUAGCCCACAGGCCAUAUUUUCUUCACCAAACAUUUCGGGGGCCAAAAAGGUUGCUGCUGUAUUCAGCCAGGUUAAGUGAAGUUACGCAAACUAAAUAGUACCUACUUUAAAUUCAAAUUAGAUUUAAAUUUUCACAUAGUAAAAUAAUUUUAAUAUUAAUAAUAAUAAUUUAGUAACAUAAAUUUAUUCAUAGUAAAAUGUACUCGGGAGCCAUAAAAAUUAUUUGGCAGGCCAUAUACGGCCCGCGGGCCGCCAGUUGGACAGCCCUGUACUAAGGUAUAAUUUCACAUAAAUAAAACUUUUGUAAUUUUAUGAGCUACAGUUAUUUUAAUUAAUCUUUAUGAUUUCUCUGAUUGAUAAUACAUCAUUUCUAGCAUUCCACAGAAUUUUUCUUUCAAAACAGACAAAACUCAGUGCCACUAUGUAUAAUUGCAAGU